RNAcentral lists this transfer RNA (82 nucleotides) under Scleropages formosus (Asian bonytongue). It matches the Rfam family "tRNA". Rfam says of the family: Transfer RNA (tRNA) molecules are approximately 80 nucleotides in length. Their secondary structure includes four short double-helical elements and three loops (D, anti-codon, and T loops). The record is from Rfam by way of RNAcentral. Lineage: Eukaryota; Metazoa; Chordata; Actinopteri; Osteoglossiformes; Osteoglossidae.
GAGGAGAUGGCCGAGUGGUUAAGGUGAUGGACUGUUCAUCCGUUGAGCUCUACGGGUGUGGGUUCAGAUCCCAUUCUUGUUG